UGUAGGAGUGAGCCUGCUCGCGAUGGCGGUAUGUCAGCCACAUUUAUAUUGACUGACACACCGCCAUCGCGAGCAGGCUCACUCCUACC
This 89-nucleotide unclassified non-coding RNA is filed under the name Pseudomonas sp. Z003-0.4C(8344-21). Lineage: Bacteria; Pseudomonadati; Pseudomonadota; Gammaproteobacteria; Pseudomonadales; Pseudomonadaceae. The record is from RNAcentral.